UAGAAAAAUCCGUUUUAUAAUGGUAUUAUUUUAGAGAUUUUUACAACUAGAACUGAAGAGGGUUUAUAUAUAUUAAAUAGACGUUUUUAAUUUACGUACUUUUUGUAUAAUGGCUUAUAGAGUUUGAAAAUAAAUUUUUAUUCCCGAAAACUUUAGAGCUAUUUUUUUUUAUUUUAUUGUUGCAGUAAUAUGAAAAAUUGAAAAUAGAUGUGACAUGUGUUACGAAAAAGUUGAUACCUGGUUUAAUAGGAAAUGCAUUCAGUGCAGCCACGGUAAAAACCAAUCUGAGAUAGCAGAUCGGUUUGGGUCGUGAGUGAAAUAAUAGGGGGUAAGCUCUAUUAUAAAUAAGAAAUCUAAUCUUAAAAAAGUAGAAAUAACAUUUUUAAGCUUUUAAAACUUUUCACAAAUUUUUUUUUUUUUUUUUUUUAUUAUUACUAUUAUUUUAGAAACAACUAGUUUUUAAAAAGUAGUAUAAGAUUAGUAGGAGCAAAAUUAAUUUUCUUCACAUACCAAGUAUUGGAAUAGGGAAAUAUAAUUAUAUAGAAAUAUACUAUUGAGGAACUCGGCAAAUCGAACCCCCGCCUGUUUAACAAAAACAUGUCUCUUUGAUAAAUAUUAUAAGGAGUCGGCCCUGCCCGGUGGCGUCGUGCUAAACGGUCGCAAUGGAUAGUUGUGCUAAGGUAGCGCAGUCAAUUGUCCUUUAAUUGGGGAAAGGAAUGAAAGGGUUGACGAGGGGUGAGCUGUCUUUAUAGUAUAGUUUGAAGUUUUCUUUUACGUGAAAAGACUUAAAUUUAAAAAUAAGAAGAGAAGACCCCGGCGAGCUUGGUAAGGGUUAUUAAACUAAAAUAAUUAUUGAGGUUUGUUGGGGCAACGCAAAGGGAAAAUAACUCCUUUGAACGUAAUAAAGAUCCACUUAGAGUGAAUAAAGCAAAAGCUACCGCGGGGAUAACAGCGCAUUUUUUCAGAGAGUUCAUAUCGAAGAGAAUGUUUGCGACCUCGAUGUUGGAUUAAGAUUUCCUUUUGGUGCAGGGGUUAAAAAGGUGGGACUGUUCGUCCUUUAAAAUCUUACAUGAUCUGAGUUCAGACCGGCGUGAGCUAGGUCGGUUUCUAUCUAUUAUAAAUUGUUUGUCGUACGUAAGGAUCCGAAUAAUAAAAAAUUUUUUUGAUUAUAAAAUAAUUGAAUGAUUGGAUUUAGGCCUAUGUUUGCUUUGCUCGUAUAUUUAAUUAUAGGGUUCAUUUUAGUCUUAAUUAUUAAUUAUCUUUGAUGAAGGGAGUUGAAUAA
This 1282-nucleotide ribosomal RNA is filed under the name Mactra antiquata. RNAcentral describes it as "16S ribosomal RNA". It matches the Rfam family "Bacterial large subunit ribosomal RNA", at positions 579 to 2845 of the family's 2925-position model. Lineage: Eukaryota; Metazoa; Mollusca; Bivalvia; Venerida; Mactridae. The record is from RNAcentral.